This 462-nucleotide ribosomal RNA is filed under the name Janthinobacterium sp. UA-VH0239A. Its description in RNAcentral is "bacterial SSU rRNA". It matches the Rfam family "Bacterial small subunit ribosomal RNA", at positions 163 to 620 of the family's 1533-position model. The record is from RNAcentral. Lineage: Bacteria; Pseudomonadati; Pseudomonadota; Betaproteobacteria; Burkholderiales; Oxalobacteraceae.
CUAAUACCGCAUACGAACUAAUGAUGAAAGUGGGGGAUCGCAAGACCUCAUGCUCGUGGAGCGGCCGAUAUCUGAUUAGCUAGUUGGUAGGGUAAAAGCCUACCAAGGCAUCAAUCACUAACUGGUCUGAGAGGACGACCAGCCACACUGGAACUGAGACACGGUCCAGACUCCUACAGGAGGCAGCAGUGGGGAAUUUUGGACAAUGGGCAAAAGCCUGAUCCAGCAAUGCCGCGUGAGUGAAGAAGGCCUUCGGGUUGUAAAGCUCUUUUGUCAGGGAAGAAACGGUGAGAGCUAAUAUCUCUUGCUAAUGACGGUACCUGAAGAAUAAGCACCGGCUAACUACGUGCCAGCAGCCGCGGAAAUACGUACGGUGCAAGCGUUAAUCGGAAUUACUGGGCGUAAAGCGUGAGCAGGCGGUUUUGUAAGUCUGAUGUUAACUCCCCGGGCUCAACCUGGGAA